Molecule: long non-coding RNA, 2596 nt
Organism: Scylla paramamosain (green mud crab)
Lineage: Eukaryota; Metazoa; Arthropoda; Malacostraca; Decapoda; Portunidae
Exons: 4
Source: RefSeq, a predicted model, not a curated record
AGUCACCAAGGCACAGUGAAGACUGACAGACCAAAGGAAUAGUGCAACAGACAGACUUGCUGGCACACAGGUUAGUCACCAAAGCACUGUGAAGACUGACAGACCAAAGGAAUAGUGCAACAGAGACAGACUGGCCGGCACGCAGGUUAGUCACCAAGGCACCGUGAAGACUGACAGACCAAAGGAAUAGUGCAACAGAGACAGACUGGCCGGCACACAGGUCACGUGGCACCGCGUGGGGUAGUGCUUGGUUCACGAGGCAAGGGACACCGAACCCUACAGACAGCUGCCAGAGGUGGUGGUGCCGGCCGUCACGCCUCAAGCCCCUCCACCGCGUCAAGUGACACGUUUGGAAUGAGUUAGUGGCCAGUUACAGCAGUGGACUGGGCAGUAUUAGCAACACAGUAUGGGUAUGGUGUAGAUCUUCUCAGGGUACUCAAGUCAAGUACAAGACGGAAGCAAACCACAAGAAUUGAAAUGCCCAUAUCAGAUGACGAACACUGACCAAGAUAGUGCAAGAAUACAUGAGUCAAAUACAAGAAAGAAGGAAAUGAUAAGGACAGAAGCACUCCACAUCAGAUGGCAAACACUGACCAAACUAAUAAUGCAAGAGUACAAAAGGUUAAGUACAAGAUGCAAACUAUAAGGCCUAAGGUGCUCCACAUUAGAUGGCAAGCACUAACCGAAGUACAUGUCCCUCUUUGAUAACUUGCUCUGAAGUGUACACCUCAGAUCUGCUUUUCAAUCUGAUUAUAAGAACAGGGAAUAUGGAGUUAGUUUUAUGCACAUCAUCUAAUGCAAGUCACCUUCCUACUUCUUGUCUCAACUUGGUCAGUGCAUGUGAUCUAAUUCUGGGAACCUUUUUCAACUUAAUCAAUGCACACCAUAUACAGAAUAUCCAAGGCACCUACCUCUCUACUCCUUUAUCUUGUCCUAACUUAAUCAGCACACACCAUGUACAUAAUGCAAGGCACCUCUCCACUCCCUUCACCUUGCCUCAUGUACCCUAUCCACUCCAUCUCGGCCUUCCUAGAACCUUGAUGAUGCUUUCUUCACUGUCAAGACAAAGGUGCGGAUCUCCAUGGGGCCGAGAGUCACGCUGAGCGGGUCCUGGUGGUGCACGAUAUUGUUGGUCCUGUGCUGCUCACUGGGACUGGCCUGUGCUGUGCUGGUUGUCUUCACCUUCCACUUGAGUCGGUGCUCGUCCUUCUUCCGGAGGUUUGCUGAGAGAAUCAUUUCCUCCACACCAGUGAUAGCCCAGUCUGCCAAAAGUCCCUGUGGGAGGCAAAGCAGAAAUGAAUGCAUGAAAGGGCAUGAAAGACAAGCCAACCCUGACGCACCUUGAGGGACACAGUGACAGGGCUGCUGUGUGUGUCACUCUCUCCCUUCUCAUACAUGUGUUCGAGGCGCAACAGCAGCAGGUUGUCCCCCCAUGGCUCCAGCGUGAGCAGGUGCACGUUGGAUGGCAGAUUCAUCCCCAGGCCGCCCCACUGAGGAUAAUAAGCAGCCAGUGAAAAGAGAGAGUCCUGAGUGCGACUGUACUGUGUCUAUCAAUGCAUUCUUGGUAAAAAGGCAGGUUCUCUCUACUUUUCCCUAUAUACCUUUAAGAACAAACCCUGGAUAUUGUAAGAUGGAAGGAAAUUAAUGAAAAUAAAAAAGCCCUACCUGCAUAAGUGAAUCCAGUGGUGAUUGAAACAAGUUUAUCCCUGACUAGUUUCACUUUUCAGCUUCUUCAGAGGAUAAAACUCCUCUUCCUGUGCCCUUUUUUCCACCACCACUGGAUUCUAAAUACCCCAAAAAUGUCUUCCCUUGCCUCUUCCUCUGUGACUCCCAUCCUUUGCAGUUCUGCUUCAAUUCCAUCCCUCUAUCUCUGUCUUCAAGGGGAUCAUAUUCCCUUAACUGGUCUUCUAACUGAUUCCUGGUCCUCUCUUCUUAGUUUCUGAACAUUGGAGUUACAGCACUUCUUGCUAGACAACUGUGCAUCUCAAAAGUAAGAUACCUCACCUUUCAACAGCAUGAUAGAGCGUACCUUGUUGACAGCUGUGUUGGUCCAGGUAUGUGCUAAGGCAGAGGUUUCUUCAAAGGCAUAGAGUGGCGGCAGCAGCAGCUCCUCUCCAAGCGUGCGGUGUAGGCAGCCGAAGUCACACUCCGGGCUUGCAAAGGAGCUGUAGGGAUGAGAGCUAGUGUGGUGAACCGUAUCAUGGCAUGGUUGUGUGAUUGAGUGAUUGUAUGUGGUGAGAGUGAUGAUAGUGUGUGUGAGCUUUGUGGUAGUGUGGGUGAAUGAUGAUAGUAGUAACUCUUGGUAUGGUGAGUUUUGUGGAACUGGUGGAUGAGAGACUGGGUGGUUUGAUGUGACAGUAAUUGUGUUACUCUUGGAUUUCCUCCUUUUUCUUAUAAGCUAUUGGAUUUCCUCCUUUUUUUUAUAAGCUAAAAAAAGUUUUAUUCAUAUUUUUUACAAGCUUACAUGUCUAAGCAUCAAGAGGCAGCAGGAAUUGGCCAAAAUUGUGACCUGCAUUUAUAGUAACUUUAUACAUACAGACUGAGUGACUAGUGAAAUGAAGCUUAAUUAUAUAGACUGCUAAUAAAUAAUAACACC